AGAGUUUGAUCCUGGCUCAGGAUGAACGCUGGCGGUAUGCUUAACACGUGCAAGUCGGACGGGAAGUGGUGUUUCCAGUGGCAGACGGGUGAGUAACGCGUAAGAACCUGCCCUUGGGGGGGGAACAAUAGCUGGAAAUGACUGCUAAUACCCCAUAGGCUGAGGAGAAAAAGGGGGAAUCUGCCCAAGGAGGGGCUCGCGUCUGAUUAGUUAGUUGGUGAGGCAAUGGCUUACCAAGGCGACGAUCAGUAGCUGGUCUGAGAGGAUGAUCAACCACGCUGGGACUGAGACAUGGCCCAGACUCCUACGGGAGGAAGCAGUGGGGAAUUUUCUGCAAUGGGCGACAGCCUGAUGGAGCAAUGCCGCGUGAAGGCAAAAGGCCCACGAGUCAUGAACUUCUUUUCUCGGAGAAGAAAGAUGACGGUCUCUGAGGAAUAAGCAUCAGCUAAAUCUGUGCCAGCAGCCGCGGUAAU
RNAcentral lists this ribosomal RNA (473 nucleotides) under uncultured bacterium. RNAcentral describes it as "bacterial SSU rRNA". It matches the Rfam family "Bacterial small subunit ribosomal RNA", at positions 8 to 524 of the family's 1533-position model. The record is from RNAcentral.